This 253-nucleotide ribosomal RNA is filed under the name uncultured bacterium. RNAcentral's name for it is "partial 16S ribosomal RNA". It matches the Rfam family "Bacterial small subunit ribosomal RNA", at positions 524 to 776 of the family's 1533-position model. The record is from RNAcentral.
UACGUAGGGGGCUAGCGUUGUCCGGAAUCAUUGGGCGUAAAGAGCGUGUAGGCGGCCCGGUAAGUCCGCUGUAAAAGUCAAAGGCUCAACCUUUGAAUGUCAGUGGAUACUGCCGGGCUAGAGUCCGGAAGAGGCGAGUGGAACUCCUGGUGUAGCGGUGGAAUGCGCAGAUAUCAGGAAGAACACCAACGGCGAAGGCAGAUCGCUAGGACGGUACUGACGCUGAGACGCGAAAGCGUGGGGAGCGAACAGG